UUGAAGCCCAGAAGGGUGAAAAUGUUUCUUUAAGAAUAGAAGAUUCAGUGCUACGUAUUCUAACUUUUAUCUGCGCUCUUUACCAAAUUCCACUGUUGCUGUGACUCAGAAGCUUUAAAGUUGAAUGGGCCAGUGACCAUAAGCUAAUUCAAGCUCAAGAUCCAUGCUGUCUAAGGGGAAAGCUGGGCUAAUCUGUCUGCCUGAGCAUACGUACUUCCUUCUCAGGGCUGAGCUUCCUGAGUUCCACUGCUGAGAGGUAAAUGGGAUCUUCUGCUAACUGCAAGUUAACCUGAAGGAUGGCGGUAAGAUAAGAAGACCUGAGGCAUCUUUCCAUCUCAGAAUCAAUACUCUAGAAAGUUCUGUCAAGUCCAUGGACCAAAAAAAACUAUUUCUGUUAAGUGAGAAUCUGCUAUAUGCUCCUGGGGACUGACAGCAUUCCACUGGCUGGGGGAAUGUGUGGGCAGAUGGAGUUCAACUAACAUUGGCUAAAGUUCAAGCUAAGGAAAGUAACAUAAAAGAGGCUACUGAAGAAGGACCCACCAUUAAAGCCUUCGUUUGAAGUUUCAACAUGGUGCUCAGGAGACUUUCAUUUCUUGAAGAUUAUGUUAAUUCCUUCUGGUUAGUCACCAAGCUGGAAGGGCUUCUGCUUGGGUCUAGGAAUGGACUAUGUGACUUUCAUUCAAAGGCUGGCAAAGCUAGGUCCAGAGAGGCUCAUGGACAGAAGCUUGGCCACUGGCAAUAAAUCUGGGGGCUUC
Monodelphis domestica (gray short-tailed opossum) is the source of this 755-nucleotide non-coding RNA. The record is from RefSeq and is a predicted model, not a curated record. NCBI's taxonomy places the organism in Eukaryota, Metazoa, Chordata, Mammalia, Didelphimorphia, Didelphidae.